Heterocephalus glaber (naked mole-rat) is the source of this 630-nucleotide long non-coding RNA. RefSeq lists it as uncharacterized. NCBI's taxonomy places the organism in Eukaryota, Metazoa, Chordata, Mammalia, Rodentia, Bathyergidae. The record is from RefSeq and is a predicted model, not a curated record.
GUUAAUUUCCUCGAGGCCUCACACAUGUAAGGGAUUUUAUUGCCUGCAGGUGCUUCAUGAUAUUGCAUGGGCUUCUAAUAAACGGCCAGUAAACCGCAGGUAGCGCCUCGGAGGCCGAGGGUUCUGUGCACCUGUCCACGAAGGCAUCCACACACCGUGCCUCUGCCUUCCAAAGCCGGGCCCUGGCACAGGCGGCUCCCAGCUCGACCUGCCCCCAACCUGCCUCUCCGGAUGCCGACAGGUGUUGGGGAUGGAACUCAAGGCCUCGCACACGUUAGGCAAUCGCUCUGCCACUGAGCAACAUCCCCGGCCCGGGAAGCCUAUCUCUCAGCUGCUCCUUAAGGCUAGAGGCUGUGAAUCUCCAACAGGCCCAGGUGGGCUUCUGGGCUCCCAGAGCAUCCAUCCAAGCACCUCCUUUGGGUCUCCAUUCCACCCGCACCAAACUCCUGGGGAAGCAACAAGUUUGAGCCAAGACCCCAUGAUUGAAAUUCCCCAAUAAAUCCCUCCCAGCUGAGGGUCUGUCGCUGCUUUAGCAAGUGGAGAUGGCGGGGGUUGCAAACUUCAAACAGGACUUGGAGGGUGGGGGGUUGUGCUGAGAGAGGAGGCCACUGACCAAGGGCUCUGAGUUAA